GACGAACGCUGGCGGCGUGCUUAACACAUGCAAGUCGAACGGAAAGGCCCUGCUGUUGUGGGGUGCUCGAGUGGCGAACGGGUGAGUAACACGUGAGUAACCUGCCCUUGACUUUGGGAUAACGUCAGGAAACUGGGGCUAAUACCGGAUAGGAGCUCCUGCUGCAUGGUGGGGGUUGGAAAGUUUCGGCGGUUGGGGAUGGACUCGCGGCUUAUAAGCUUGUGGGUGGGGUAGUGGCUACCCAAGGCUUGGACGGGUAGCCGGCCUGAGAGGGUGACCGGCCACAUUGGGACUGAGACACGGCCAAGACUCCUACGGGAGGCAGCAGUGGGGAAUAUUGCAAAAUGGGCGGAAGCCUGAUGCAGAAACGCCGCGUGCGGGAUGACGGACUUCGGGUUGUAAACCGCUUUCGCCUGUGACGAAGCGUGAGUGACGGUAAUGGGUAAAGAAGCACCGGCUAAAUACGUG
This 468-nucleotide ribosomal RNA is filed under the name uncultured bacterium. RNAcentral describes it as "partial 16S ribosomal RNA". It matches the Rfam family "Bacterial small subunit ribosomal RNA", at positions 28 to 507 of the family's 1533-position model. The record is from RNAcentral.